UUUGGUGGCGAUAGCGAAGAGGUCACACCCGUUCCCAUGCCGAACACGGAAGUUAAGCUCUUCAGCGCCGAUGGUAGUUGGGGACUUCCCCCUGUGAGAGUAGGACGCCGCCAAGC
This 116-nucleotide ribosomal RNA is filed under the name Bacillus paralicheniformis. RNAcentral also lists the same sequence under 1 other name. The record is from RNAcentral. Lineage: Bacteria; Bacillati; Bacillota; Bacilli; Caryophanales; Bacillaceae.